RNAcentral lists this transfer RNA (73 nucleotides) under Cordylochernes scorpioides. RNAcentral's name for it is "tRNA-Thr". Lineage: Eukaryota; Metazoa; Arthropoda; Arachnida; Pseudoscorpiones; Chernetidae. The record is from RNAcentral.
GUUCAGGGAUGGGAUUCGAACCCACAGUGUUCCGCUUACCGGGCAGAUGCCAUGUCCACUAGGCUACCCUGGA